GCACAAGCGGUGGAGCAUGUGGUUAAUUCGAUGCAACGCGAAGAACUUACCUAGGCUUGACAUCCCAGGAAUUCUCUGGAAACAGAGAAGUGCCUUUCGGGGAACCUGGAGACAGGUGCUGCAUGGCUGUCGUCAGCUCGUGUCGUGAGAUGUCGGGUUAAGUCCCGCAACGAGCGCAACCCUUACCCUUAGUUGCCAGCGGGUAAUGCCGGGCACUCUAAGGGGACCGCCCGGAUAACGGGGAGGAAGGCGGGAUGACGUCAAGUCAGCAUGGCCUUUAUGUCCAGGGCUACACACGUGCUACAAUGGGCGAUACAGAGGGAAGCAAGGCCGCAAGGUAGAGCUAAUCCCUAAAGUCGUCCUCAGUUCGGAUUGCAGGCUGCAACUCGCCUGCAUGAAGUCGGAAUCGCUAGUAAUCGCGGAUCAGCUACGCCCGCGGUCGAAUACGUUCCGGGCCUU
This 459-nucleotide ribosomal RNA is filed under the name uncultured Aminicenantes bacterium. RNAcentral describes it as "bacterial SSU rRNA". It matches the Rfam family "Bacterial small subunit ribosomal RNA", at positions 923 to 1382 of the family's 1533-position model. The record is from RNAcentral. Lineage: Bacteria; Candidatus Aminicenantota.